This 329-nucleotide unclassified non-coding RNA is filed under the name soil metagenome. RNAcentral describes it as "partial contains 5.8S ribosomal RNA, internal transcribed spacer 2, and large subunit ribosomal RNA". The stretch from base 1 to 120 matches the Rfam family "5.8S ribosomal RNA", at positions 35 to 154 of the family's 154-position model. The record is from RNAcentral.
GAUGAAGAACGCAGCGAAAUGCGAUAAGUAAUGUGAAUUGCAGAAUUCAGUGAAUCAUCGAAUCUUUGAACGCACAUUGCGCCCCCUGGUAUUCCGGGGGGCAUGCCUGUCCGAGCGUCAUUACAACCCUCAAGCUCAGCUUGGUAUUGGGCCCCGCCGCUCCGGCGGGCCCUAAAGUCAGUGGCGGUGCCGUCCGGCUCCGAGCGUAGUAAUUCUUCUCGCUCUGGAGGUCCGGUCGUGUGCUCGCCAGCAACCCCCAAUUUUUUUCAGGUUGACCUCGGAUCAGGUAGGGAUACCCGCUGAACUUAAGCAUAUCAAAAAGCGGAGGA